RNAcentral lists this small nuclear RNA (112 nucleotides) under Panthera leo (lion). RNAcentral's name for it is "U2 spliceosomal RNA (ENSPLOG00000019103.1)". It matches the Rfam family "U2 spliceosomal RNA". From Rfam's summary of the family: U2 is a small nuclear RNA (snRNA) component of the spliceosome (involved in pre-mRNA splicing). Complementary binding between U2 snRNA (in an area lying towards the 5' end but 3' to hairpin I) and the branchpoint sequence (BPS) of the intron results the bulging out of an unpaired adenosine, on the BPS, which initiates a nucleophilic attack at the intronic 5' splice site, thus starting the first of two transesterification reactions that mediate splicing. Lineage: Eukaryota; Metazoa; Chordata; Mammalia; Carnivora; Felidae. The record is from Rfam by way of RNAcentral.
AUCGCUUCUCGGCCUUUUGGCUAAGAUCAAGUGUGUAAUGUAUUAAUUAAUCAAUCUAUUUAUUUAAAAAAAAUAUAUGUAUUGAGGGUUGACCAUGUACAAGCCACCUUGC